UACGUAGGGUGCAAGCGUUGUCCGGAAUUAUUGGGCGUAAAGAGCUCGUAGGCGGUCUGUCGCGUCGGCUGUGAAAUCCCGAGGUUCAACCUCGGGUCUGCAGUCGAUACGGGCAAACUAGAGUAUUGCAGGGGAGACUGGAAUUCCUGGUGUAGCGGUGAAAUGCGCAGAUAUCAGGAGGAACACCGGUGGCGAAGGCGGGUCUCUGGGCAAUAACUGACGCUGAGGAGCGAAAGCGUGGGGAGCGAACAGG
RNAcentral lists this ribosomal RNA (253 nucleotides) under uncultured bacterium. RNAcentral describes it as "partial 16S ribosomal RNA". It matches the Rfam family "Bacterial small subunit ribosomal RNA", at positions 524 to 776 of the family's 1533-position model. The record is from RNAcentral.